GACGAACGCUGGCGGCGUGCUUAACACAUGCAAGUCGAACGGAAAGGCCCUGCUUUUGUGGGGUGCUCGAUUGGCGAACGGGUGAGUAACACGUGAGUAACCUGCCCUUGACUUUGGGAUAACUUCAGGAAACUGGGGCUCAUACCGGAUAGGAGCUCCUGCUGCAUGGGGGUGGUUGGAAAGUUCCGGCGGUUGGGGCUGGUUUCGCGGCUUAUCGGCUUGUUGGUGGAGUAGUGGCUUACCAAGGCUUUGACGGGUAGGCGGCCUGAGAGGGUGACCGGCCACAAUGGGCCUGAGAUACGGCGCAGACUCCUACGUGAGGCAGCAGUGGGGAGUAUGGCAGAAUGGGCGGAAGCCUGAUGCGGCAGCGCCGCGUGCGGGAUGACGGCCUUCGGGUUGUAAACCGCUUUCGCCUGUGACGAGGCGUGAGUGACGGUAAUGAGUAAAGAAGCACCGGCUAACUACGUG
This 468-nucleotide ribosomal RNA is filed under the name uncultured bacterium. RNAcentral describes it as "partial 16S ribosomal RNA". It matches the Rfam family "Bacterial small subunit ribosomal RNA", at positions 28 to 507 of the family's 1533-position model. The record is from RNAcentral.